Molecule: long non-coding RNA, 924 nt
Filed under: Centruroides sculpturatus (bark scorpion)
Lineage: Eukaryota; Metazoa; Arthropoda; Arachnida; Scorpiones; Buthidae
Description: uncharacterized LOC111619752, transcript variant X1
Source: RNAcentral
GUAAAUUCGUCUGUGCAGAAUGCCCGGUAGGUUUCAAUAAAGUUUUGCAAAAAUAUAGUAGAAAGGCUGGAUAAUGGAAAUGUCAUUAGAAUGCAAGAAGGAAUUGGAAUUUGCUUAUACAUAAAUUAAUAUAAUUAAUAAAUGAUUGAAUAUUUCUUUUAUCAAAAUACAGAAUAAGUUGAUAGUAAUGCAUGGGCAAAUCAUCAUAUUCUUCUUGAUUUUAUUAAUUACUGUUUACCUUCUAAAUGUUCUAAAUUUUCUUCUCCAUUUACAUAACCAUCAUCAGCAGCAUCAACAGCAUCAGCAACAGCAACAGCAAUUCCAGUAAUAGUUUUAGGAAGGACUAGAGAGACAUUCUGCUGAAAAUGUUUACACUAAAGAAAAUGAAGAAAUCUUUCCUGAAAAAUAAUAAUAAUGAUGAUUUUCCUCUUAAUUUUAUGUAAAUAUUUGGCUUAUCUAUUUUUUUAUUUCUUGAAUGAAUCAGUAAUUUUAAUGAAAACUUUUCAUUAUUUUAAAAAGUAUUUAAAGUUACCAGUUGAAGAUCAAAAUAUAUAUAAAAUCAGACUUUAUUACCAUCAUAUAAGUUUAGUAUUGAAAAACAUUUUCAAUGUAAUUUAGACCAUCUUCAAGACUCAUAUUAGAUCAGAAUAUAAAAGUGCUGUAUAUAUUCUUGAUCAGCUAGACCAAAAAUGCUUGCCAAUAUUAAACUAUAUGCUUGUAAGAUGUUGAUUUUAUAGAUAUUUAAUUUUUUUAAAGUCUUCAUUCUAAAUGCUGCUAUAUGUUUCUGUAAAAAGUGGUUGCAUACUUUGCACAUUUAGUUGAAUAAAUCUGAAUAUGUCAGAUAAUUAAUGAAGCUGGAAGGAUUAAGAAAAUAAUUAUUUCAUAAUAUCAGAAUAGAACCAAAGAUAUUCAGAUAUUUAUAAG